UGGAAGUAAAAAAACGUAACAAGGUCUCCGUUGGUGAACCAGCGGAGGGAUCAUUGCUGGAACGCGCCCCAGGCGCACCCAGAAACCCUUUGUGAACUUAUACCUUACUGUUGCCUCGGCGCAUGCUGGCCCCCUCGGGGUCCCUUGGAGACAAGGAGCAGGCACGCCGGCGGCCAAGUUAACUCUUGUUUUUACACUGAAACUCUGAGAAAAAACACAAAUGAAUCAAAACUUUCAACAACGGAUCUCUUGGUUCUGGCAUCGAUGAAGAACGCAGCGAAAUGCGAUAAGUAAUGUGAAUUGCAGAAUUCAGUGAAUCAUCGAAUCUUUGAACGCACAUUGCGCCCUCUGGUAUUCCGGAGGGCAUGCCUGUUCGAGCGUCAUUUCAACCCUCAAGCAUUGCUUGGUGUUGGGGCACUGCCUGUAAAAGGGCAGGCCCUGAAAUCUAGUGGCGAGCUCGCCAGGACCCCGAGCGCAGUAGUUAAACCCUCGCUCUGGAAGGCCCUGGCGGUGCCCUGCCGUUAAACCCCCAACUUUUGAAAAUUUGACCUCGGAUCAGGUAGGAAUACCCGCUGAACUUAAGCAUAUCAAA
This 592-nucleotide ribosomal RNA is filed under the name Diaporthe lithocarpi (nom. inval.). Its description in RNAcentral is "eukaryotic LSU rRNA". The stretch from base 230 to 383 matches the Rfam family "5.8S ribosomal RNA". The record is from RNAcentral. Lineage: Eukaryota; Fungi; Ascomycota; Sordariomycetes; Diaporthales; Diaporthaceae.